This 462-nucleotide long non-coding RNA is filed under the name Ananas comosus (pineapple). Its description in RNAcentral is "long non-coding RNA (ACOM_LNC044136)". The record is from RNAcentral. Lineage: Eukaryota; Viridiplantae; Streptophyta; Magnoliopsida; Poales; Bromeliaceae.
CGCACCAGAAGCCAACUCUACUCCGUGGCUUCUCCAGAAAAUCGGAGUUACUACUCACUUAAGUGAAAACUAAAAAUCCAGUAUCUUCUCCAUUUUAGCUCAUUUUCUUCUGAAACUUGACGAGUGCUUAUGUAAUUAAAUUACACACAUAAACAUCAUCAACUGAGAGUUUAGUUGCACUGUAAAAAUCUCAGUCCUUACACUAGCCGGCGGGUGGGAAGAAAAAAAGAGAUUAGACAUAUUAUAAUUACUCCAAUUCAUUAAUAUAAGGAUACCCGCCCUCUCUCAAAGGAAUGAGAUUAGUACUUUGGAAUGCAUCUCAUUCCAAAGUAAAUCUAGUAUUACCAACUAGAUUGUUUAGUGCGUUUAGCCAAACACCGUCAUAUUUUUUUAUUCCUAUUGGAUUAUUAGAAAUCUUAAAAAGAUAGCACGAUCAAACGGACCCUUAAAGUCAAGGUCGAC